Molecule: non-coding RNA, 101 nt
Organism: Chelonoidis abingdonii (Abingdon island giant tortoise)
Lineage: Eukaryota; Metazoa; Chordata; Testudines; Testudinidae
Source: RefSeq, a predicted model, not a curated record
CUCCCUGAGAAGGACAGUAAUCCUGACACGAGAGAAAUUAGCCUCCUCAUCCCGCUUUCCUCCUUCUCCCACCUAAUUCGCCUGGUGAAUCAACCCCGUCC